This 380-nucleotide ribosomal RNA is filed under the name uncultured eukaryote. Its description in RNAcentral is "partial 18S ribosomal RNA". It matches the Rfam family "Eukaryotic small subunit ribosomal RNA", at positions 592 to 976 of the family's 1831-position model. The record is from RNAcentral.
CAAUAGCGUAUAUUAAAGUUGUUGCAGUUAAAAAGCUCGUAGUUGGAUUUGUGGCGUACGGUGUGUUCCGGGCACUUGUUGUCUGAGUAACCUGCUGUUGCCAUCCUUGGGUGGAACCUGUGUGGCAUUAGGUUGUCGUGCAGGGGAUGCCCAUCAUUUACUGUGAAAAAAUUAGAGUGUUCAAAGCAGGCUUAUGCCGUUGAAUAUAUUAGCAUGGAAUAAUGAGAUAGGACUUUUUUGCUAUUUUGUUGGUUUGCGCAAGAAGGUAAUGAUUAAUAGGGACAGUUGGGGGUAUUCGUAUUCCAUUGUCAGAGGUGAAAUGCUUGGAUUUUUGGAAGACGAACUACUGCGAAAGCAUUUACCAAGGAUGUUUUCAUUAA